Molecule: ribosomal RNA, 234 nt
Filed under: Escherichia coli
Lineage: Bacteria; Pseudomonadati; Pseudomonadota; Gammaproteobacteria; Enterobacterales; Enterobacteriaceae
Description: partial 23S ribosomal RNA
Rfam family: Bacterial large subunit ribosomal RNA
Source: RNAcentral
CGGAAAUACCCCGUGAACCUUUACUAUAGCUUGACACUGAACAUUGAGCCUUGAUGUGUAGGAUAGGUGGGAGGCUUAGAAGUGUGGACGCCAGUCUGCAUGGAGCCGACCUUGAAAUACCACCCUUUAAUGUUUGAUGUUCUAACGUUGACCCGUAAUCCGGGUUGCGGACAGUGUCUGGUGGGUAGUUUGACUGGGGCGGUCUCCUCCUAAAGAGUAACGGAGGAGCACGAA